Gastrolobium bilobum is the source of this 106-nucleotide small nucleolar RNA. The record is from RefSeq and is a predicted model, not a curated record. NCBI's taxonomy places the organism in Eukaryota, Viridiplantae, Streptophyta, Magnoliopsida, Fabales, Fabaceae.
AUACCGUGUUGAGGACACUUCCGGAGUAAUCCUUUAAAUCGUGUCCAAGCUUCAUACAAAGAUUCUCUUUCUUUUGUUCAAAAGCUGUGAUCUCCGCCUUGAGCCU